GGGGAGAGAAAGGGAGAGAGAGGAAGAUAUGCCUUCAGGAGGCUUUAGAAAAUAAAAUGAGCUUGUUUUAAUAGAUAAUUGAUUAGAAAGCACCCAGCCUCAUUAACUUUAGGGAAUAUUUGCUUGAAGAGGUUCAUUUAUAUUCCAAUAACAUACUUGAGAAACUUAGGGACUGAAGAAAAUGUAGUUAUAUGUGUUGCAGU
This 203-nucleotide unclassified non-coding RNA is filed under the name Hevea brasiliensis (rubber tree). Lineage: Eukaryota; Viridiplantae; Streptophyta; Magnoliopsida; Malpighiales; Euphorbiaceae. The record is from RNAcentral.